GUGGGGAAUAUUGCACAAUGGGCGAAAGCCUGAUGCAGCGACGCCGCGUGAGCGAAGAAGUAUUUCGGUAUGUAAAGCUCUAUCAGCAGGGAAGAUAAUGACGGUACCUGACUAAGAAGCACCGGCUAAAUACGUGCCAGCAGCCGCGGUAAUACGUAUGGUGCAAGCGUUAUCCGGAUUUACUGGGUGUAAAGGGAGCGCAGGCUGUGCGGCAAGUCGGAUGUGAAAGCCCGGGGCUCAACCCCGGUACUGCAGUGGAAACUGUCGUACUAGAGUGUCGGAGGGGUAAGCGGAAUUCCUAGUGUAGCGGUGAAAUGCGUAGAUAUUAGGAGGAACACCAGUGGCGAAGGCGGCUUGCUGGACGACAACUGACGCUGAGGCGCGAAAGCGUGGGGAGCAAACAGGAUUAGAUACCCUGAGUCC
RNAcentral lists this ribosomal RNA (423 nucleotides) under uncultured bacterium. Its description in RNAcentral is "partial 16S ribosomal RNA". It matches the Rfam family "Bacterial small subunit ribosomal RNA", at positions 354 to 796 of the family's 1533-position model. The record is from RNAcentral.